CAAAAUCCACCUUUCUGGAAACUCACAAUAAGAUUCUGCAAGACGUUGCCAAGACAACGCAAUGGCAACUGAAGACAGGGGACCAGAACGUGCUGCCUGGAGACAUUAAUAAACUCUUCUCCUUAAAUGACUGUGGUAGGAAGUAAUUCAUUGAAAUAUAUUACAUUCCAGAAGGAGUUCUCUCUUCAGACAAGCUUGCCUUUGGCUCUGCUUGCUCAACUUUCAGCCCAGGGAGACUGCACGCUCCUAAGCUUUUAAAAGAUGAUGCUUGAAAAACGACCAGCUCUCUUGUACCCCUAAACCAUCUGGAUCGGAUUCCCAGUGGACACUGCUAGCUAGCUGCCUGAAAAGCUUCGAGUCUGCACUCUUGAAGCCCAGGGAGGAAACUCUGCUGACAUUUUUUCCUCAUUACACCAAAAGUGUAGAACUGAACUAUUUCAUGACCACUGUAGGCAAGACAGCCACCUACUAUCACCUCUCCCACAAGAUCUUCCCUAUUUACAAACAACAGAUCCAGGAGGACUCCUUUCCUAUUUAGAUCACGAAGUAGAUGUGACAGAAAUUUAUCUUCAACAUGCUUUUGGAAUUUCCA
Long non-coding RNA from Gallus gallus (chicken), 592 nucleotides. RefSeq lists it as uncharacterized. NCBI's taxonomy places the organism in Eukaryota, Metazoa, Chordata, Aves, Galliformes, Phasianidae. The transcript has 2 exons. The record is from RefSeq and is a predicted model, not a curated record.